Molecule: ribosomal RNA, 590 nt
Filed under: uncultured bacterium
Lineage: Bacteria
Description: bacterial SSU rRNA
Rfam family: Bacterial small subunit ribosomal RNA
Source: RNAcentral
UACUCCUACGGGAGGCAGCAGUGGGGAAUUUUGGACAAUGGGCGAAAGCCUGAUCCAGCAAUGCCGCGUGUGUGAAGAAGGCCUUCGGGUUGUAAGGCACUUUUGUCCGGAAAGAAAUCCUUGGCUCUAAUACAGUCGGGGGAUGACGGUACCGGAAGAAUAAGCACCGGCUAACUACGUGCCAGCAGCCGCGGUAAUACGUAGGGUGCAAGCGUUAAUCGGAAUUACUGGGCGUAAAGCGUGCGCAGGCGGUUUGCUAAGACCGAUGUGAAAUCCCCGGGCUCAACCUGGGAACUGCAUUGGUGACUGGCAGGCUAGAGUAUGGCAGAGGGGGGUAGAAUUCCACGUGUAGCAGUGAAAUGCGUAGAGAUGUGGAGGAAUACCGAUGGCGAAGGCAGCCCCCUGGGCCAAUACUGACGCUUAUGCACGAAAGCGUGGGGAGCAAACAGGAUUAGAUACCCUGGUAGUCCACGCCCUAAACGAUGUCAACUAGUUGUUGGGGAUUCAUUUCCUUAGUAACGUAGCUAACGCGUGAAGUUGACCGCCUGGGGAGUACGGUCGCAAGAUUAAAACUCAAAGGAAUUGACGGA